This 253-nucleotide long non-coding RNA is filed under the name Elaeis guineensis (African oil palm). Its description in RNAcentral is "long non-coding RNA (EGUI_LNC074159)". The record is from RNAcentral. Lineage: Eukaryota; Viridiplantae; Streptophyta; Magnoliopsida; Arecales; Arecaceae.
UUCUAACUUUGCUGAUCUGGGCUUGAGGAUGAUGUUGCAAACUGCACAUGCAUCCGACCUCUAGGAGUCAUCCACACGAGCCCACGAAUCACGAUCAGAAGUCCUGGUCCAGAAAAUCAGCACAGUAUGCUUGUACUGUGCUGAUCCUUCUUCGAUGGUCGAUCAGAUGCCUCCUUCUUCUUGAUUUAGACUUUUUCAAAAAUAAAAAGUAGGAGAAGGAGUUUUAAAUGUGAGACACUCUCAAAAAACUCAU